This is an RNA transcript of Dioscorea cayenensis subsp. rotundata (Guinea yam), 864 nucleotides long. It is a transcript of the gene named phosphoglucan phosphatase DSP4, amyloplastic-like, with no coding region annotated. The record is from RefSeq and is a predicted model, not a curated record. Lineage: Eukaryota; Viridiplantae; Streptophyta; Magnoliopsida; Dioscoreales; Dioscoreaceae. The transcript has 9 exons.
CGAUACAUUGUACUGUUGACUUGAAAGAGCGCCUGCUGUUGCGUUGACAUACAUGUUUUGGAUUCAAGGCUAUAAGCUUAGUGAAGCAAACUGCUUGUUGCAGAGCAAAAGACCAUGUUUUCCAAAAUUGGAAGCCAUAAUGAGUGCAACUGCUGAUAUUCUAACUGGGCUGCCCAAGAGCCGUGUCACUUUGACAUGGGAAGACGAUAAUUGUUCGUCAGUGGAAGUGUCUGGACUAGAUAUUGGAUGGGGGACAGAGGAUUCCUUUAGAGUUUGACAAGGAUCAAGGUUUAUGGAUUCUGCAGAAAGAGUUACCAGAAGGGCGCUAUGAGUACAAGUACAUUAUAGAUGGUGAAUGGACCUGUAACAAGUAUGAAUUGAUAACCAGCCCAAACAGUGAUGGGCAUGUAAACAACUAUGUCCAGGUUUACGGUGAUGAUUCAACCAUUGCCACCAGGGAGACUCGAAAACGGUUGACUAGUGAUGAUGUGGAUCUGACUGUUGAGGAACGGCAAAGGAUCAAGGAGUUCUUAGAAUCAUACAUUGAACCAAAUGACGAAGAUAUAAGAUAAAUAGCAGCAUUUGGAUGGUAUCGGUUGUAUCAUAUCUGCUUCCCUGGUACAGGAAACAACAUACCAUCUAGGCGCCAUCAAUAAAUCAGAGAUUGAUCUUCUCUGCGGUUUAGAGAUUAAAUGGAGGCAUGGGUAAUUCUUCCGACACGGGGAACAUGCCAGCCGCCAAGUUAUUAUUUAUGUUUGUAUUUAAUAAAUUUAUUUCAAACAUGCCUACAAUGUGAACAGGUUUAUACAUUCUGUGUAUAUACUCAAGUUUGUGCUAAUGAAAUUUAUUAUCCACUUAAUUUUA